Molecule: long non-coding RNA, 276 nt
Filed under: Lathyrus oleraceus (garden pea)
Lineage: Eukaryota; Viridiplantae; Streptophyta; Magnoliopsida; Fabales; Fabaceae
Description: Pisum sativum (pea) long non-coding RNA (PSAT_LNC034710)
Source: RNAcentral
AAGGUGGGAGCGCGCCUCAGGAGCGUGUGAUCUGCCAGCUCAAUUAAUGAGCUCAGAUCCAAUGCUCCUUGUUUUUUUUGCAUUUUUCUAUUUUUUGAUUUUAUUUUCUUUAAUUCCUUUUAUUUCAAAAAAAUCAUAUCUCUCUCAUUUUAAUUCCAAAAAUUAUGGGACCAAUUGCAUUAGUCUCCAAAUAAUUUCUAAUUUCUAUUUCGGAUUUUUAAUAUUUUUUAUUUUGUCAUUUGAUAUUUUUUGUGAAUUUUCUCUUUUCUGGUUAUU